AAGACCUCAUCUUGCAUUUCUUUUAGAUAAGAAGCCUGGUACACACAGUUCCCACCUGUGCCAUUCCAGCUCGGAAGGAAAAGAGCCAGCUUCCAAGUGAUUGCCUUCUUCUCCACACUAUUCCUCAAAGAUCCAGCAGAAGCCGGGCUUUGCUGGGCUUGCAGCCUUUUCUGCAGCACAAAUAGAGCUGUAAGUGGAACACUUCCUCUGGGAUUUUGUUUUUCCUCCCUGCCAAAUUCAUGGGCCAGGCCAAGUCCCCGCUUGCUCAGGCAGGCGGUCGGCUGGGAGCAUCUUACUGUUUGCAGAGAGGAGCUGGUGGAACCUCACACUCCACAAUGAGACUAUUGCGGCGAAAUGCAUCUGGCGGGAGGAGAUACUUGCAGCAAAUGAGGGUGAGAAGAACUGAGUGCUGGCAACCCUAGCAAGCUGGAUUCCCCAUAUGAACUUGAAGGAUUUGGCAGAACUCAAUUACAUUUUUAAACAGUUACUGUAAGUGUAAAUGUUAUUUUAUCCACCCCCUUGAACUGUAUCAUCCUGGCCUGCUACCAGGCAACCACACCCACGCUCCUACUUUUACAGCUGCAGAGUUUGGGUCAGGUCUACGUUCUGUACAACUCAAAACCUAUUAUUAAAGCAAUUCAUUUGCAAAUAAAUCACCUUUCUUACGCAGCCCUGAGUAAAAAAAAUGAGUAAAACAAGAGUAUGUGAGCGUGAGCUCGUUUGCUGAAUGCAAAUCCUGCUGCCUUCCCUCCCCUGACCACAUUUGAAUAAGCAAUAAGAAGGUUGCACGGUAUUUGAUCACCAAGGCGCUUCUUACUUCAUUCAGAUUCUGAGAAGCUGAUACAGUAAUCAUUGAAGAAAAAUAAAAUGAAGAAAAGAAAAAGAGGUUCGCCAGGAGAUGUCUCUUCUCAACAAAACAGGAAGGAUCAAAGGACCCUACAGCUCAGGGGUCAAGGCCAGCAGGCUGACACGAAGCCAGAGCGCGACAGGGGAUGUAGUAUUAUCUCAUUUUCAUGAGAUGAUAGGAGAAGCACUCCUAGGUUCAUGCAAACCUGGCCCCAGGUGGCUCAGAGCAGUGCCUGGUGGGCUUUGGGCGCAGCAGGACUUCAAUUACUGUGGAAGGCCUGAAGCUGCUGAGUGAUUUCAGAGAGGAAACAAGCAGCCUUACUUUCAGAAGCACCUUGCAUUGUCCAGUUUUACAUUCCUUGGGGUCCAGCUCUGAACUCUUUCAGGGCCUCAAUGUCUACGUCAACCUGCACCUUUUCAGUUUUUCAGUAAGACAUAGGAUAUGCAUGAGAACUGCAACCCCUUUUAUUGUAACUCAAACCUGGCCUCCAAGUUUCAUUUUAUCUUUAAAUAAAACAAAUAAAGGAAUAGCUUGUUAUUAAGAACAAUAUUGUUUUAUGCUUGCUGCAAUAUACACAAAUAUACAUAAAGAUUAGUCAGCUUUCAUGUGAUGAAUUAAACCACUG
This is a long non-coding RNA of Gallus gallus (chicken), 1472 nucleotides long. The record is from Ensembl. Lineage: Eukaryota; Metazoa; Chordata; Aves; Galliformes; Phasianidae.